This 477-nucleotide ribosomal RNA is filed under the name uncultured bacterium. RNAcentral's name for it is "partial 16S ribosomal RNA". It matches the Rfam family "Bacterial small subunit ribosomal RNA", at positions 28 to 507 of the family's 1533-position model. The record is from RNAcentral.
GAUGAACGCUGGCGGCGUGCCUAAUACAUGCAAGUCGAGCGAACAGACGAGGAGCUUGCUCCUCUGACGUUAGCGGCGGACGGGUGAGUAACACGUGGAUAACCUACCUAUAAGACUGGGAUAACUUCGGGAAACCGGAGCUAAUACCGGAUAAUAUAUUGAACCGCAUGGUUCAUUAGUGAAAGACGGUUUUGCUGUCGCUUGUAGAUUGAUCCGCGGCGCAUUAGCUGGUUGGUGGGGUAACGGCUUACCAAGGCUGCGAUGGGUAGCCGGCCUGAGAGGGUGAGCGGCGGCAUAGGUCCUGAGGGAGGGGCCAGAGUGGUAAGUGAGGCAAAGGGGGGAAAGCUUGGAGAAAGGGCGGAAGCGUGAUGCAGGAGCGCUGCGGGCGGGAAGACGGCUUUUGGGGUGUAAACCAAUUUGGCAAGUAACGAAGCGUGUGUGACGGUAAUGGAUAAAGAAGCCCAGGCUAAAUAAGUG